GACGAACGCUGGCGGCGUGCUUAACACAUGCAAGUCGAACGGAAAGGCCUCUUUCGGGGGGUACUCGAGUGGCGAACGGGUGAGUAACACGUGAGUAACCUGCCCUUGACUUUGGGAUAACUUCAGGAAACUGGGGCUAAUACCGGAUAGGAGCUCCUGCUGCAUGGUGGGGGUUGGAAAGUUUCGGCGGUUGGGGAUGGACUCGUGGCCUAUCAGCUUGUUGGUGGGGUAGUGGCUUACCAAGGCUUUGACGGGUAGCCGGCCUGAGAGGGUGACCGGCCACAUUGGGACUGAGAUACGGCCCAGACUCCUACGGGAGGCAGCAGUGGGGAAUAUUGCACAAUGGGUGGAAGCCUGAUGCAGCAACGCCGUGUGCGGGAGGACGGCCUUCGGGUUGUAAACCGCUUUCGCUCAUGACGAAGCUUUGUGUGACGGUAGUGGGUAAAGAAGCACCGGCUAACUACGUG
This 467-nucleotide ribosomal RNA is filed under the name uncultured bacterium. RNAcentral's name for it is "partial 16S ribosomal RNA". It matches the Rfam family "Bacterial small subunit ribosomal RNA", at positions 28 to 507 of the family's 1533-position model. The record is from RNAcentral.